UUGUGGAGGAGGACGCCGAAGGUGGGGCUAAUGACUGGGGUGAAGUCGUAACAAGGUAGCCGUACCGGAAGGUGCGGCUGGAUCACCUCCUAACAGGGAGACAACAAAAUGUUUAAUAUUAUUAUUUUGUCACCUUAGGUCGAUCGGUAUCUCACAUUCUUAAUUUAUUAAGGAUUUUAUUUCCUAAGUUUUUUCUAGGUCACACCCAUUACUUUUCCUGGGCCAUUAGCUCAGGUGGUUAGAGCGCACCCCUGAUAAGGGUGAGGUCCCUGGUUCAAGUCCAGGAUGGCCCAUAUCUCUAUGUUGGGGGUAUAGCUCAGUUGGUAGAGCGCCUGCUUUGCAAGCAGGAUGUCAGCGGUUCGAGUCCGCUUACCUCCACUGAUUACCACCUCUUACAUAAUUUUAUUAAGGAAAUGUUUUGAGUAGUGAUCAGAUUCUGAACGAAUCUAGCUUCCUAAUGAAAUCAUUAAGAUGCUGGACUCAUUGAAUUAAUUUCAUUGUUUUCAGAGAACCUUGACAACUGCAUAGAUUAUUUUUAAAGACAAUAAGCAUCUUUAAGAUGCAGACUUAUUAUUUGUGCGAAUGCAUUAAUAACAAUUCUAUUAAGCUGAUGCUUCAAUUAUGAAGUUAUUGGUCAAGCUACAA
This 645-nucleotide unclassified non-coding RNA is filed under the name uncultured Prochlorococcus sp. RNAcentral describes it as "partial 16S-23S ribosomal RNA intergenic spacer; may also contain 16S ribosomal RNA and 23S ribosomal RNA". The stretch from base 306 to 378 matches the Rfam family "tRNA". Lineage: Bacteria; Bacillati; Cyanobacteriota; Cyanophyceae; Synechococcales; Prochlorococcaceae. The record is from RNAcentral.